Molecule: ribosomal RNA, 377 nt
Filed under: uncultured bacterium
Lineage: Bacteria
Description: bacterial SSU rRNA
Rfam family: Bacterial small subunit ribosomal RNA
Source: RNAcentral
AUACGUAGGUGGCUAACGUUAUCCGGAUUUAUUGGGCGUAAAGAGGGCGCGGGUGGCGCUCCAAGUCGGGUGUGAAAUAUCCUGACUCAAUCAGGAUAGGUCGUCCGAUACUGGAGUGCUAGAGGGCAGCAGAGGGAGAUGGAAUCCCCGGUGUAGUGGUGAUAUGCGUAGAUAUCGGGAGGAGCACCAGUGGCGAAGGCGGUCUCCUGGGCUGUUCCUGACGCUGAGGCCCGAAAGCGUGGGUAGCAAACCGGAUUAGAUACCCGGGUAGUCCACGCCCUAAACGGUGGAUACUAGGUAUGGGGGGUAUCGACCCUCUCCGUGCCGCAGCUAACGCUUUAAGUAUCCCGCCUGGGGACUACGGUCGCAAGACUAAA